This 443-nucleotide ribosomal RNA is filed under the name uncultured bacterium. RNAcentral's name for it is "partial 16S ribosomal RNA". It matches the Rfam family "Bacterial small subunit ribosomal RNA", at positions 338 to 795 of the family's 1533-position model. The record is from RNAcentral.
CCUACGGGAGGCAGCAGUGGGGAAUAUUCGGCAAUGGGCGCAAGCCUGACCAAGCAACGCCGCGUGCAGGAAGAAGGCUUUCGGGUUGUAAACUUCUUUUCUCAGGGACGAAGAAAGUGACGGUACCUGAGGAAUAAGCCACGGCUAACUACGUGCCAGCAGCCGCGGUAAUACGUAGGUGGCAAGCGUUAUCCGGAUUUAUUGGGUGGAAAGGGCGUGUAGGCGGGAGCGCAAGUCAGAUGGGAAAACUCAGGGGUCAAACCUGAGCCUGCAUUUGAUACUGUGUUUCUUGAGUGAUGGAGAGGCAAGCGGAAUUCCGUGUGUAGCGGUGAAAUGCGUAGAUAUACGGAGGAACACCAGUGGCGAAGGCGGAUUGCUGGAUAGUAACUGACGCUGAGGCGCGAAAGCGUGGGGAGCAAACAGGAUUAGAUACCCGGGUAGUC